UGGGGAAUAUUGCACAAUGGGCGCAAGCCUGAUGCAGCCAUGCCGCGUGUAUGAAGAAGGCCUUCGGGUUGUAAAGUACUUUCAGCGGGGAGGAAGGGAGUAAAGUUAAUACCUUUGCUCAUUGACGUUACCCGCAGAAGAAGCACCGGCUAACUCCGGGCCAGCAGCCGCGGUAAUACGGAGGGUGCAAGCGUUAAUCGGAAUUACUGGGCGUAAAGCGCACGCAGGCGGUUUGUUAAGUCAGAUGUGAAAUCCUCGGGCUCAACCUGGGAACUGCAUCUGAUACUGGCAAGCUUGAGUCUCGUAGAGGGGGGUAGAAUUCCAGGUGUAGCGGUGAAAUGCGUAGAGAUCUGGAGGAAUACCGGUGGCGAAGGCGGCCCCCUGGACGAAGACUGACGCUCAGGUGCGAAAGCGUGGGGAGCAAACAGG
RNAcentral lists this ribosomal RNA (429 nucleotides) under Chloroflexota bacterium. RNAcentral describes it as "Chloroflexi bacterium partial 16S ribosomal RNA". It matches the Rfam family "Bacterial small subunit ribosomal RNA", at positions 355 to 776 of the family's 1533-position model. The record is from RNAcentral. Lineage: Bacteria; Bacillati; Chloroflexota.